CCAAUGUGGGACCCAGCAGGCCACUCUCUCAGGCUCUGUCCUAGUGGCAUAGGGGAGCGUAGACUCUGUCCCUUUACAGUCCCUUUCCACAAAGCUGGAGAUGAAGCUGGGCUUCAAGUCUGCUCCUGCACAUUCUGUGACUUCCCAGAGUCAUAGAAUGUGGAUGAUUACUGAGGAGACAACCACGCAGAAAACAAUU
This is a small nucleolar RNA of Grammomys surdaster, 199 nucleotides long. RefSeq annotates it as small nucleolar RNA SNORA73 family. Lineage: Eukaryota; Metazoa; Chordata; Mammalia; Rodentia; Muridae. The transcript has a single exon. The record is from RefSeq and is a predicted model, not a curated record.